AGCUCUGAGACUAUCCCUGGGGCUGACCUGGCACUCCAGGGUUGUAGCUGUUGUUACCUGGAGGCUGUGCGUCAUCCCCAUGGAGGUCAGGAUGGGUU
MicroRNA precursor from Gallus gallus (chicken), 98 nucleotides. The record is from Ensembl. Lineage: Eukaryota; Metazoa; Chordata; Aves; Galliformes; Phasianidae.